GACGAACCGUGCGAACGUUGUUCGGAAUCACUGGGCUUAAAGGGCGCGUAGGCGGGUUUUCAAGUCUGUGGUGAAAGCCUCCAGCUUAACUGGAGAAGUGCCGUGGAUACUGGAGACCUCGAGGAGGGUAGGGGCAUCUGGAACAGCCGGUGGAGCGGUGAAAUGCGUUGAUAUCGGCUGGAACUCCGAUGGCGAAGGCAAGGUGCUGGACCCUCUCUGACGCUGAGGCGCGAAAGCUAGGGGAGCGAACGGG
This 253-nucleotide ribosomal RNA is filed under the name uncultured bacterium. Its description in RNAcentral is "partial 16S ribosomal RNA". It matches the Rfam family "Bacterial small subunit ribosomal RNA", at positions 524 to 776 of the family's 1533-position model. The record is from RNAcentral.